Molecule: small RNA, 83 nt
Filed under: Arabidopsis thaliana (thale cress)
Lineage: Eukaryota; Viridiplantae; Streptophyta; Magnoliopsida; Brassicales; Brassicaceae
Description: ATSL046060
Source: RNAcentral
AUCAAAUCUGACUGCUGCCUUUCAAGUUCAAGCUUCUCCUGUUAUUGAUUCUCAAGUUAAUAUGGCUCAAGGUUCAUACAAGA